This 253-nucleotide ribosomal RNA is filed under the name uncultured bacterium. RNAcentral's name for it is "partial 16S ribosomal RNA". It matches the Rfam family "Bacterial small subunit ribosomal RNA", at positions 524 to 776 of the family's 1533-position model. The record is from RNAcentral.
UACGUAGGGUGCGAGCGUUGUCCGGAAUUAUUGGGCGUAAAGGGCUCGUAGGCGGUUUGUCGCGUCGGGAGUGAAAUCAUCUGGCUUAACUGGGUGCUUGCUUUCGAUACGGGCAGACUAGAGGUAUGCAGGGGAGAACGGAAUUCCUGGUGUAGCGGCGAAAUGCGCAGAUAUCAGGAGGAACACCGGUGGUGUAGACGGCUUUCUGGACCGUAACUGACGCUGAGAGACGAAAGCUAGGGGAGCAAAUGGG